Molecule: long non-coding RNA, 296 nt
Filed under: Pan troglodytes (chimpanzee)
Lineage: Eukaryota; Metazoa; Chordata; Mammalia; Primates; Hominidae
Description: long non-coding RNA NONPTRT017561
Source: RNAcentral
UUGGGCAUCCGGAUGGCGACUGCGGGAAAUCGAGUUCUUAUGCUGGGGCGAAAGGUGUGUCUGCAGGAGCCAAAUCCAAAUGAGCAGUCCAGGUACUUCAGAGUUUUAACCUGAGCGAAACAGGAAUGUCUCGGGUCUUAACAGGACCGUCCGCCCGCUCGGAAGAGGCGAAUCUCCCACGGCAGACGUCUGGGUGUGCGAAUGCCAGUUGAGCGGGGCCUCGAGGACGCGUCACACACAGCGAGGAUUUGAGGAGGGAAGCGCCUUCCAGAGUCUUGCUGUGUCGUUCAGGCUGG